Long non-coding RNA from Lates calcarifer (barramundi perch), 784 nucleotides. RefSeq lists it as uncharacterized. The record is from RefSeq and is a predicted model, not a curated record. The transcript has 4 exons. NCBI's taxonomy places the organism in Eukaryota, Metazoa, Chordata, Actinopteri, Centropomidae.
CGGACCAGAAUCUGUCGGCCAAUCAGCGUUUUUCUGCCAAUGCUAGACGUAUGUCGUCAUUUGUCGACGUGGCUCAUCAUUGGUCAUGACCUUCUGGGAGGGGCGUGAGAGAGGCGGAGAGAGGAAGUUGGAAAACAGAUUUAAACCACUUUUGAACCGCUGCCUCUGUUUGCUUGUGCUCUGAGAGAAAACGUUGUUACCGGAGAGCUUUGGAUGUUAAAACAAACCCUGCAGCUGCUUUUCUGUCCUUGAUGAAGAAGUCUGGAUGCUAAAACAAACACUGGAGCUGCUUUUUGUCGAACACAAGUGAGACUGGACGCUGAACACACCUACAGCGUGAAGGUUUACUGGUUCAGCUGCUGCAGCCUGGACAGAAACACCAGCUCUCACCUGACAAACCAAACAGGUGUCACCACUUCGUCCACGAUCACAGAGAGUCUUUGUACAAUGAAGAAGUUCUGUGAGACCAGGACAGAGGCCUCCAGGUCUUCAGCUGCUGUUGUGGUCUUCCCCUGCAGGGACAAGAACGCGUAUUAAACACUGAUCAGUUUGAUCAGUACCUAAUCACAAUGAUUUAAACUAAACUCAGUCACAGUAAUGACUACAGAUACUUCUGAAACUGUAUAUAAAAUAAGAACAUACUGUAUUUAUGACAUUUUUUGCAUUUUUGAUGUCUUACUAUACUGUGACAUUUUUGAAUUUUUUUGACACCUUACUAUACUGUGACAUUUUUUGAUGGUUUUUGAUGCAUUACUGUACUAUGAAAUUUUUUUACACCUUACUA